CUUUAGGCCUGCCAACCAAUCAGGGGCCUUGAUCUUCCUAUCCGGGACAUUGCAAGGGCCUGAGCCAGGUCCUGGACUUCAGUGAGGGGGACAACGGGCCUGAUGGUGACCACGGGGCAAAGACGGAGACAAAGAGAAAGCAACUAAAACAAUAGAGGGGACCUGAGAGCGACAGAGUGGUCGACAGAGAAAGAGACAGUCUGAGAAACGCAAUAAAAGCAGAGAGAGAGAUUUAAUCUUAGCUGUUGCAGGUGGAACACUGGGAUUGUGGAAGCUCUGGAGGUGGCACGCAGUGGCUGAGAAUUAAGACUCUGAUAGAGAUCAAGAUGACAGGCAUGGUUUUAGUCACGCCAGAAAUCCAGCUGUGAAAAACAAGAAGAGGUCACCGCCCUGUCACAGAUCCCCCUCCUCCUCACAGCGCAACCCUCACCACAGCAGUACCACAGACGAACAGGAGAGCCCUGAGAGACUGGUGAGAGGCAUCAUCAGCAUUGGCACAAACACACUUAGCUGCACAAAACAAUGAGAUAACAGGUGUGAGUUCUAUAGCUCUUGUCUUCUGAUUACAUUCUAAAUAAAUUAAAUCACAUUUUUUUGGUAGCCUGUAUUUUCCUUCCACACUGCAUGAUUUCCAAACACAUUAAGAGAAGAACUUUGUUACUCAGGAAAACGGAUGUUGCAACUGUGAUGUCAGGACACUGAAGAUUCUUGGCAGACACAGAAACUAUUAAAUUGUUUUUGCGAACUACAUUGUUCUUUAGAUCUUUUCGGAAAAGUCAACACAGCAUUGUGGCCGACCUUGUGACCCCCAAAAUACACCACCCUCUAACAAAGAAUCACAAUAGCCCAACGCUGAUGUGGUGAGGUCAUUGUCCACCACAACAAGCUAGCUCAGCAGAGAUGGCCUUUUCAUGCAACAGUAGUUGACUGCCAGCCGCUGCAUGAAAAGUGGGCAAUGCAAAUCAAGUUCAGGUGACCCACAUUCAUAAAAAAAAAAAAACCAAAAGAAAAAACACGUUUGCACUUUGGGUUUUUGUAAAACAACAUGAUGCUAUGUCAGGUCAUGUCAGAGUGACACCUGCAGGUUUGAAUCAGAUGGCAGGGAUGUGUUAAGAGAAGCACUGCACAUGUGUAUUUUGACC
RNAcentral lists this long non-coding RNA (1142 nucleotides) under Takifugu rubripes (torafugu). Its description in RNAcentral is "lncRNA (ENSTRUG00000029304.1)". Lineage: Eukaryota; Metazoa; Chordata; Actinopteri; Tetraodontiformes; Tetraodontidae. The record is from RNAcentral.